RNAcentral lists this ribosomal RNA (254 nucleotides) under uncultured bacterium. Its description in RNAcentral is "partial 16S ribosomal RNA". It matches the Rfam family "Bacterial small subunit ribosomal RNA", at positions 524 to 776 of the family's 1533-position model. The record is from RNAcentral.
CACGUAGGGUGCGAGCGUUGUCCGGAAUUAUUGGGCGUAAAGAGCUCGUAGGCGGUGUGUCGCGUCGGCCGUGAAAACCUGCAGCUUAACUGUGGGCUUGCGGUCGAUACGGGCAUCACUGGAGUUCGGCAGGGGAGACUGGAAUUCCUGGUGUAGCGGUGAAAUGCGUAGAUAUCGGGAGGAACACCAGUGGCGAAGGCGGCUUUCUGGUCUGCUCUUGACGCUGAGGCGCGAAAGCUAGGGUAGCAAACGGG